CACGUGAAAAAAAAAACCACAGAGAAGAGGCUUUAGAACUUGCCUCUGCACACUGGCAGCCUGUUCAAGAUUCUUCUCUGGUUGCUAAAAUAGCACAGGGUGUGAGUGGGGGAGAGGGAGGGCCGACAGAAGAGAAAGAGGAGCUUGUUGGCUCCUUUGGGACCCAGUCACCACUCCCAGUGCGGUGGUGCACCGGGGACGGCAAGCUUCAGAGGGGCCCCUGGGCGGUUUCUGCUUUGUCACUCUGUAUGUGGGGGGAGGGAGAGGAGGCCAUCACUGGUCAUAAAGUCCUUCCUGUGUCACAAGGACCCCUCCCAGUGGCCAGGAUGUGGGGCGGCUGGGUGAAUGAAUGAUGGAUAUUGUUCUGGAGGUGACCUAAGCAGCCGGGAAUGUGGCAGCAGGGGGCUUUAAUGAGCCAUUCAUCAAUGACUCCUUCCUCCAACCCAAAGAGGUAAACCCUGUCUACUCUGGGGCAGUACUGAAUCCGAAGCAAACAUCUUAAGACAGAGCAACCAAGUGGCAUUCCAGUGGGGACAGUGAUGGACUUCCCCCAGAUGACAUCACCCCAGGUCUUCCUUGCCCUUGACAUCUGCACCAUGCAAUCACUUUACUCCGCCACCAGGCUUUGAGGCAAUUUGCUACCCAGCGGUAGAUAACUAACGCAAUAUGGAAGCAGAGUUGCUGUAUCAUAGGUUAACCCACGUUGUAGCCUGUAUCAGUGAGUGUUUCAUCACUUCUUGUCUGAGUAACACUCUAUUUUAUGGAUGUCUCGUAUUUUGUUUAUCCAUUCAUUCUCAAGUUGAUGGACACUUGGGUCAUUCCUACUUAUGCUAUUAUGAAUAAUGCUGCUACGAACAUUCAUGUGUAAGCUUUUGCGCCAACGUGUUUCCAAUUCCCCUGGGUAUAUACCUAGGUGUCUAACUGCUGGAUCAUAUGGCAACUCUAUGUUCAAUCGUUUGAGGAACUACCACGCUGUUUUCCAAAGAGGCUUCAUCAUUUUACAUUCCCAUCAGCAACAUAUGAGCAUUCCAAUUUCUCCACAUCCUUGCCAACACUUGUUAUUAUCUGACUUUUUGAUUAUAGUCUUCCCAGUGGGUGUGAGGUGGUGUCUCAUUUGCAUUUCCCUAAUAAUUAAUGAUGUUGAGCAUCUGAUUAACCUCUUUGGAAAAUGUGUCUUCUAGUCCAUUUUUUAACUGGUUGUCUUUUCAUUGAUAUGUUGCAGGCAUUCUUUAUAUAUUCUGGACACUAGACUCUUAUCAGAUAUAUGAUUUGUAAAUAUUCUCUCCCAUCCUGAAGAUUAUCUUUUUACUUUUACUUUCUGAGUGUCCUUUGAAGCAAAAGUUUUUAAUUUUCACUAAGUCUAAUAUAACUAUUUUUCUUUGGUUGCUUGUGUUUUUGGUGUCCUAUCUAAUAAACAUUGCCUAAUCCAAGAUCA
Long non-coding RNA from Neofelis nebulosa (Clouded leopard), 1435 nucleotides. RefSeq lists it as uncharacterized. NCBI's taxonomy places the organism in Eukaryota, Metazoa, Chordata, Mammalia, Carnivora, Felidae. The record is from RefSeq and is a predicted model, not a curated record. The transcript is spliced from 4 exons.